This 433-nucleotide unclassified non-coding RNA is filed under the name Hevea brasiliensis (rubber tree). The record is from RNAcentral. Lineage: Eukaryota; Viridiplantae; Streptophyta; Magnoliopsida; Malpighiales; Euphorbiaceae.
AAACCAGAACGAUGCUGGACAUCAACAUCUUCCGCGACAACAAGGGCGGCAACCCCGAGUUCGUCCGCGAGUCGCAGCGCCGCCGCUUCGCCAGCAUCGACGUCGUCGAUGAGAUCAUCCAGCUGGACAAGGCUUGGCGUGAGCGCCAAUUCGAGCUGGAGGGCCUGCGGAAGGAGUUCAAUCGGAUCAAUAAAGAAGUCGCCCGGCUUAAGAUUGCGAGGGAGGAUGCGACGGAGAUGAUCAAGAGCACGGAGGAGAACAAGAGGCAGGCGGCGGAGAAAGAGCUAGAGGUGCAGGCGGCGAAGGCGGAGCUGGAUGCGAAGCUUGGGGCGAUGGGGAACCUGGUUCAUGACUCUGUCCCGGUUAGCAAUGAUGAGGCUAACAAUGAGGUGGUUCGGACGUGGGGCGAUAGGAGGAUGGAAGAGAAGCUGAA